RNAcentral lists this long non-coding RNA (640 nucleotides) under Cairina moschata (Muscovy duck). RNAcentral's name for it is "domestica (muscovy Duck (domestic type)) lncRNA (ENSCMMG00000003977.1)". The record is from RNAcentral. Lineage: Eukaryota; Metazoa; Chordata; Aves; Anseriformes; Anatidae.
UGCCAGCGGUAGUCCCAACUCUGCCGGGCCACGGCGCGCCGGGCGGCCGCCAACCCGCCGGGCCCCGCCGGGCGCCGCAGGUCCCAGAGUUUGGCCGUCUGGUCCUUGGAGUUGGUCACCAGGUAGCGACCGUCACCCUAUGGGAGGGGACGGGGCGGUGACGUCACGGAUGAGGUCAUCGGGGUGAAGAACGUCAAGGUUGGGGUCAAUGGGCGUGGUAGAACCAUGGAGAACGUCAAAAUUGGGGUCAACGGGGUGAAAAACGUCAUAUUUGGGGUCAAUGGGGUGAAGAACGUCAAGAUUGGGGUCAAUGGGGUGAAAAACGUCAAGAUUGGGGUCAACGGGGUGAAAAACGUCAAGGUUGGGGUCAACGGGGGUGGUAGAACCAUGAGGAACGUCAUAUUUGGGGUCAAUGGGGUGAAAAACGUCAAGAUUGGGGUCAUUGGGGUGAAAAACGUCAUAUUUGGGGUCAAUGGGGUGAAAAACGUCAAGAUUGGGGUCAACGGGGAGAGGAACCGCGAGGAACAUCACGCAUGGAGGGCCACCAGUCCCUCCCAGUCCCUCCCAGUGCCUCCCAGUCCCUCCCAGUGCCUCCCAGUCCCUCCCAGUCUAUUCCAAUCCCCUCCCAGUAUAUCCCAGU